UUUUUUUUUUUUUUUUUGCAUUUGGCACAAACUAAAUUAAAAAGAAAAAGAAGAAGAAGAAAAGAGAAAGCACAAUGCCGAGAAUAUUCUAAGGAGUCAUGCCUAUAAUUGAAAACCUGCUUUAGGUUAUUUGGAACUUCCAUGACCCAUAUGUGCUAUAUGGGGUCGGGCGACACAUGCAGCUUUUGAAUGCGACAGUGUCACACAGUGUUUCCCUAACCCCCCCCACCCCCCAUUUCUGAACAAUUUCUUGUAUCUACAGCUGUGCUACGUGCAGCGGCCAUAAAACCAUCCAUUUGUAUAAUCUCGGGGCAAAAAGCACCACAAAGAGAAGCAAUGGGACUGCGAAAAUGAUCCAUCUUCAUUUACGCAUUUAAAAUUUUUCUCACUGUGAGAGCCUGGUGAGGUGGAUAUCUUCCUGUGAAAACCGCAGAGAGCCAGCUGCCUUUUCCGAGUCCAACAAACAUCAGUAGGGACAAUAACAUUAAGGAUUCAUAAUCCCACACAGAAGAACACAACAUUAUCCUAACUAAAUUUUCUCCUUUCGCAUCCCCAAGACUUAUUAAUACACAGGAUAAAAAGCUCCGAGAGCUCCAGCUUCCACACAGUGAGUGAUGGAUACCAUAUUCCAGCUGUUUAGUUUGGAAGCUAUCGUCUCAGAUCCGUCAAGUUCUAGUGGAAAUAAAUGAAAUAGGGAUAUCUGGUCCUCACUGUUCGCCUGAACGCCCGGCCUUCGUUUCUUCUCUUUAUUAUGUCAGUACUACCGCUGGAAUCAAAAAUGGUCUCGAUUUUCUCAGUUCUGUGGAAUUUUACCUCAGAUGAGACUGCGGUAAAUACCGCAGUCAUUUCAUAUCCUUUCCUAGGGGCAAUACACCCAUUGUGGCUCCACCAUCAUGCAAUCUUCUUGGCUCAUUCCCUUUCCUUUUCAAGGCCCCCACCCAUUGUGUAGGGCGGUGGUUCUCUGCCGGCCAACUCUCAACCCUCUCUUGACACUCCCUUUCUGGACUUUGACUAUUACCAACGUGUGGAUGACACUCAGAUUUAUGUUGCUUUUCCAGACUUCUCCCCUGAGCUACAGACUUGAUACCCAACUGACUGACAUCUGCACAAAUACAAUCAGCAGGCAUCUCAAAUUUCACAAAGCUGGAAUAGAAGAUGGCUUUUCCCACUGCUUCGUUGAAAAGGGAGUCUCUCUGGCAUCUGCCUUCACCACGGUCUACGGCACUAAAGCAUCUAUGGCACUAAAGCAUCCUUCGAUUGCUCGGGCUUAAUAUCUGGGUAUCACCUUCCUUUUCUUAUUCUUCACGUUCCCAGUCUAGCCAACCCAUCAGAGUAACUUCACAGAAGCCUUUUUUAAUAGAUCAUUCAUUGAUUAUUUUUAAACAUUUCUCUCCUGCUAUUCUGCUUCUCUCUGAAGAGUCAGAAGAGAUACUUCAAAGAGUUGCAGGAGGUAUUAGGUAAUGCGGUGAGGUCAGCCCAUGUGUUUGUAAGUUGGUGAUACUUGGGCUACGUUGAAAUAUCCCAGGAGAGGAAAGCUUGUGGGCACUUCUGUCAAAGUUUUAGAAGGAAAGGAAGAUAACUCUGAUUCUGCCAUCAGGAACAGCAAUGCUACUGGAGAAAUCCCAAAAGGGAAAUGACACCAAGAGAGAGCGGGGGACAGAAGAUCUGAAGCCGGCUCUG
Long non-coding RNA from Hyaena hyaena (striped hyena), 1680 nucleotides. RefSeq lists it as uncharacterized. The transcript is spliced from 3 exons. The record is from RefSeq and is a predicted model, not a curated record. Lineage: Eukaryota; Metazoa; Chordata; Mammalia; Carnivora; Hyaenidae.